GCCAUUUUGAUGUUCUAGCUAACACAUUACACUGAACGGCUGUUCACACAUAUAACAUUUAUUUUGAAAAUUUCAUCUAUAAGAAACAGCCUAAAUAUGUUACACUUCUAGACAAUGAGGCUUUCAUGGUAUAUAGCACACAGAGAUUUGAAUCAUGUAGGUAUUUGGUCAUUAUAUUUGUACUUUUAACUCUUUUUAUAUGUGUUGGGUAACAAAAAAAAAGCUGAUGUUAUGUUAUAGGUUUUGUUGGAAACAGCCGAAAUAUGUUGCACUCCUAGACAGAGAAGAUGGAGUCAUGGCAGAUAUGAAGAGUCAACAUAUACAGCCCAGAUAUGUUCCACUCCCACACAUUCAAGAUGGUUUCGUGGUAGAUGGCACAUGAGGAUGUUUAACAUAAACAGCCUAAAUAUGUUACACUUCUAGACAAUGAGGCUUUCAUGGUAUAUAGCACACAGAGAUUUGAAUCAUGUAGGUAUUUGGUCAUUAUAUUUGUACUUUUAACUCUUUUUAUAUGUGUUGGGUAACAAAAAAAAAGCUGAUGUUAUGUUAUAGGUUUUGUUGGAAACAGCCGAAAUAUGUUGCACUCCUAGACAGAGAAGAUGGAGUCAUGGCAGAUAUGAAGAGUCAACAUAUACAGCCCAGAUAUGUUCCACUCCCACACAUUCAAGAUGGUUUCGUGGUAGAUGGCACAUGAGGAUGUUUAACAUAAACAGCCUAAAUAUGUUACACUUCUAGACAAUGAGGCUUUCAUGGUAUAUAGCACACAGAGAUUUGAAUCAUGUUUUGUUGGAAACAGCCGAAAUAUGUUGCACUCCUAGACAGAGAAGAUGGAUUCAUGGCAGAUAUGAAGAGUCAACAUAUACAGCCCAGAUAUGUUCCACUCCCACACAUUCAAGAUGGUUUCGUGGUAGAUGGCACAUGAGGAUGUUUAACAUAUGCAACUUAUAUGAUGUUUUAGUAGUAGAAGGUGCAGCAUGGCAGCAGAAGAUGUUAAAUGGAGAAUCUAUAGAUACAGUUUAAUUCUUUAGAGGAUAAAUAAUAUAAGUUAUAGAUUUAUAGUUUAUAAUUUCUUUAAUGUUCAAAAUAUCAGAUGAGAAUUUGCAAAGUGCCCUCAAUAUGUCUACGAUGAUUUAACAUUCAUAAUAAAGAAUGUAUUGUAAACCUCUUUUUCAAUAUUCAUAUUAAAGGAAGUAGAUUGUCAAUUUAGAUAUUUACUUAUUUACCUGAAUUUUUUUAUUAAGUAAUAAAACAAUAUGACUUUAUUUAGAUUGUUUAGAUUCAAGUUCAAAAUGUAUAUACAUCAGAUAGUUUUGGUUUGCCAACAACUUCAAUUGUAUAGCCAAAAGAUCAAUUAUUGGUUGUAAAUAAUGCCAGCUCUAACUAAAAUCUUAAAAUAGAAACUCUUCAAAUUUGACAAGUUACCAUAUUAUACAUAUGAAUAAAUUAGAAUAGUCUGUAAAUAUUCUGUAUUUUCCUUUUUGCAUCAUCUUUUGAGUAACCAAAUCAGAACACCCAAUUUGGUGAAAUAUUUUUUCCUAUUAUAUCUAUUAUUGCUUUUGUACGAUAAACACAAAAAUGUAUAUGCAGUUUUGUUAAAUAUAUCUAAAUAAAGAAUUAAAAAAAAAAUCAAUUUCAAAUUAACACAAACAAAAUUGACUUUAACUUAUGGUUUAGUUCAUGCACUCUUUAAUGUAUAUCUUAAAAGUUUUGUUGUGGACUAAGCAAAUAUCAAAUUAUCAUUUCAGAAGUACAUUUUCUUGCAUGGUAUCAUCUUCACUAACAUUUAACAUAGUGGGUUUAGGAGUUACUGAGGUAGUUCUUAUUGAGGUGUUUCUUGUUUUUUUCUUUGGAGGAAUCAGUGGUUUCUAUGUCUUCAGGAUAUGGUUUUGUCAUUCAAAGGGAACUGUCUAUGUAAUUCUGAAAUGAUAUACAUUUGGUAUUUUAUUGUAAUUGAAAAAGAAACAAUAUUAGUGCAUGAACAUUUGAACUUUGAAUAUAUAAUAUUUAAACUUGAUAAUUUAUAAUUUUUAAAAUCGAUUUUGGAAAUUUAUUGUUUCAAAAUUAAAUUGUAACUUGUGAACCAUAAUAAGUGAUAUUUUUAUUUGCAACUUGUAAACCAUAAGAGAUAGAGACCUAGGGUGUUUUGGUUUGAGGUCUUUGGUCCACUUAAAGAAAAUUUAGGGCAAGGUCAAAGGUCAAGGUCAUUUUCUAAAUUUUUAUUUUGGCUUGUUAUUUCUUAUCAGAGGCCGUAUAAGAUAUUGACAAAAUAUUUUUCUAAAUUGUUAUAUGCAACAUGUCGUAACAUAUGAUUUUUGGUUGAACACGUACGUUGACAUAAAAUGGGAGUUUUCUCCCCUCUCAUAUUUAAAACUAGCUGUAUGGUGAUAUUACUCAUUAACCAUAUAUAGUAGAGAUCUAGGGUCUUUUUAUUUGAGGUCCUUACUUUAUGACCUUGAAAUAUAGGUCAAGGUCAUAGGUAAAUUUGACGUUCUAGAUUUUGAUCUUAGCACUAACUUUAUUUUUAUAAAUGAUAGAGCCAUAGGACUUCUUGCAUUAGGUUACAAGCCAUAUGACCUUGAAAAAGUCGACCAGAAGUGACCUUGUUUGAAUCGGAAGUAGCUAUUUUUUGUACUUAUUUAAUAUAAAAGUAUAUAGAACCAUAUAUUUUUGGAAUCCAUGUCAAGUAACCUAUCAUAUUAUACCAGAAGUAAUAUUUUUCAAACUCGAAGUAACAAAUUAUCUCCUUUAUACGGACAAAAGUGUAUAGAAACCAUAUAUUUUUAGAAUUGGCACUCAGCUAUAAUCUAAGACUGGAAAUGACAUUUUAAACUCGAUUUUGAUAUUUUCAGAUACAGCCUAAAUAUGUUACACUCCUAGACAAUGAAGAUGGUUUCAUGGUAGAUUGAUCACACAUCUGGAUACGUAGCAUAUACGGACUAAAUAUGUUACACUCCUUGACAAUGAAGAUGCUUUCAUGGUAUAUAGCACACGAAGAUACAUAUCAUAUACAGCCUAAAUAUGUUACUCUUCGACAAUGAAGAUGGUUUCAUUGUAGAUAGCACAUUGGGAUUAGUUACAUAUAGCCUAAAUAUGUAAGACUCCUAUACCAUGAAAGAUGCUUCCAUUGCAGAUAGCAAAUUAGGAUUAGUCAUAUAGCCUAAAUAUGUAAGACUCCUAUACCAUGAAAGAUGCUUCCAUUGCAGAUGCACAUUAGGAUAAGUCACAUAUACAGCCUAAAUAUGUUGAACUCCUAGACAGAGAAGAUGGAUUCAUGGCAGAUAUGAAGAGUCAACAUCCCUGAUAUGUUCCACUCCCAUACAAUGUUGAUGGUUUCAUGGUAGAUGGCACAUUAAAUAGUUUAACAUAUGCAACUUGUAUGUUUCUGUAGUAGAAGGUGCAGCAUGGCAGCAGAAGAUGGUAAAUGGAGAAUCGUGAAGAGACAGUUUAAUUCUUUAGAGGAUAAAUAAUAUUAUAGUUUAUAGAUUUAUAGUUUAUAAUUUCUUUAAUGUUCAAAAUAUCAGAUGAGAAUUAGCCAAGUGCCCUCAAUAUGUCGACAAUGAUAUAACAUUCAUAAUUAAGAAUGUAUUGUAAACCUUUUUUACAAUAUUCAUAUAAAAGGAAGUAGAUUGUCAAUUUAGAUAUUUACUUAUUUACCUGAAUUUUUUAUUAAGUAAUUGGAACAAUAUGACUUUAUUUACAUUGUUUAAAUUCAAGUUCAAAAUGUAUAUACAUCAGAUAGUUUUGGUUUGCCAACAACUUCAAUUGUAUAGCCAAAAGAUCAAUUGUUGGUUGUAAAUAAUGCCAGCUCUAACUUAAAUCUUAAAAUAGAAACUAUCUUCAAAUUUGACAAGUUACCAUAUUAUACAUAUGAAUAAAUUAGAAUAGUCUGUAAAUAUUCUGUAUUUUCCCUUUUGCAUCAUCUUUUUAGUAACCAAAUCAGAACACCCAAUUUGGUGAAAUACUUUUUCCUGUUAUAUCUAUUAUUGCUAAAAUGUAUAUGCAGUUUUUGUCGAGCCUGCGACUUUUGUCGCAGAAAGCUCAACAUAGGGAUAGUGAUCCUACGGCGGGGGCGGCGUUAGCUAACUUCUUAAAAGCUUUAUAUUUUAGAAGGUAGAAGAUCUGGAUGCUUCAUACUUUGUAUAUGGAUGCCUCAUGUUACGAAGUUUCCGUCAGUCACAUGUCCAAUGUCCUUGACCUCAUUUUCAUGGUUCAGUGACUACUUGAAAAAAAAGUUAAGAUUUUUUGUAAUGUUAAAUUCUCUCUUAUUAUAUGUCAUAGGAUAACUAUAUUUGGUAUGUGCGUACCUUGCAAGGUCCUCAUGCCCGUCAGACAGUUUUCACUUGACCUCGACCUCAUUUCAUGGAUCAGUGAACAAGGUUAAGUUUUGGUGGUCAAGUCCAUAUCUCAGAUACUAUAAGCAAUAGGUCUAGUAUAUUCGGUGUAUGGAAGGACUGUAAGGUGUACAUGUACAACUGGCAGGUGUCAUCUGACCAUGACCUCAUUUUCAUGGUUCAGUGGUUAUAGUUAAGUUUUUGUGUUUUGGUCCGUUUUUCUUAUACUGUAUGCAAUAGGUCUACUAUAUUUGGUGUAUGGAAUGAUUGUAAGGUGUACAUGUCUAGCUGGCAGGUGUCAUCUGACCUUGACCUCAUUUUCAUGGUUCAGUGGUCAAAGUUAAGUUUUUGAGUUUUGGUCUAUUUUUCUAAUACUAUAUAUGCAAUAGUUCAACUAUAUUUGGUGUAUGGAAAUAUUUUAUGAUCUAUAUGUCAGUCACGCAGGUUUUAUUUGACCUUGACCUCAUUUUCAAGGUUCAUUGCUCAGUGUUAAGUUUUUGUGUUUUGGUCUGUUUUUCCUAAACUAUAAGCAAUAGGUCAACUAUAUUUGUUGUAUGGAAGAUUUGUUAGCUGUACAUGCCUGCCUUGCAUGGUUUAUCUGACCUUGACCUCAUUUUCAUGGUUCAUUGGUCAAUGUUUAGUUUACUUGGUUAAUGUUAAGUUUAUGUGGCAGUUGUAAUAAAGCUUUAUAUUUAGGACUAUCAACAUAAUAUCAAUGAUUAGUAAAGAAGGCGAGACAUUUCAGCGUGUGCACUCUUGUAUUAAAUAUAUCUAAAUUAAAAAUUCAAAUAAAAAUCAAUUUCAAAUUAACACAAACAAAAUUGACUUUAACUUAUGGUUUAGUUCAUGCACUCUUUAAUGUAUAUCUUAAAAGUUAUGUUGUGGACUAAGCAAAUAUCAAAUUAUCAUUUCAGAAGUACAUUUUGCUUGCAUGGUAUCAUCUUCACUAACAUUUAACAUAGUGGGUUUGGGAGUUACUGAGGUAGUUCUUAUUGAGGUGUUUCUUGUUUUUUUCUAUGGAGGAAUCAGUGGUUUCUAUGUCUUCAGGAUAUGGUUUUGUCAUUCAAAGGGAACUGUCAAUGUAAUUCUGAAAUGAUAUACAUUUGGUAUUUUAUUGUCAUUGAAAAAGAAACAAUAUUAGUGCAUGAACAUUUGAACUUUGAAUAUAUAAUAUUUAAACUUGAUAAUUUAUAGUUUUUAAAUUGAUUUUGGAAAUUUAUUGUAUCAAAAUUAAAUUGUAUUAGACAGUUUAAUGAAUGGAAAUUGAAAAUUAGAAAAACUUAAUUCAUGUUCUUAAUUUAAGCACAAGUGAAAACAAAAUUCCAAAUAUAAAUUUCUGCUUCAUUAAAACUUGUUAAAUGGAUAUGCAAAAUCACUGAUAGCUAACAUGGUUAAUCCGUCUUAAUUAGAUAGUGUCGUUAAGUAUAGUCUAAUGGAUCCUGUUGAUAUCAUAUUAAAAGUAUUGAUGUAUUAUAAAUCCUAUUCCUAAAUCUCGCAUGUUAGAUGCCAGAGACCCCCCUUUGUUAUAGAGGGAUCGCCCUUGCAUCAGUGUAUUGCAAAUUGUACUGGAAUAUACUGAACUAUAGAUUACUUUCUGUUAAUAAAGCAUAGGGUCACUUUCACUCAACUUACUUUUUUUUACGUAUACUAGUAUACGUUGAUAAUUUUAUUUUAUAUUGCAUUUUGAUUUGCAAUACACACAUGUUUUAAGGUGUAGGUCAGAGCACCUGACCCUGGAGACGGGAUUGCGCACUUGGCAUCCACUGACACAGGUUUCUAGGGCUUUUUGAUCGAUUAUAUUGUUUUUUAUCUCUAGUUGUUCCUGGCCGGCCCUGACUGUCUAUGAAGGGGUGCAUUUAGUCAAAAGUUGGUUUUGGUGUAUUUAGGUUAAUCAUGGAAGUAUUAUAUUUUACUUCCAUGGGAUCAAAUAUACAUAUGAAUUGUAUGAUUUUAAAUUAUAUAUGCAUUGCAAUAAUAAGAAUUUAUUGAAUUUGUGAAUUUUUAUAAUACAAUCUGGCGUCCAUCGAGCAUGACGGGCUGUCGGCAAACUAAGAUUAUGUUUGCGUUGUUUAUAUUUUGCACGAGUAUAUAGUUAAUACCACCUAUUUUUGAUAAGCAGUGGAAAGGUUUUAUUCGUUUGUGGUCUAGAUUUAAUAACAUGAGCUCAAGUCGGUUAAAUGCAAAAGUUCAUUAGUGGUCUGACAGAAUGAGUAUUAAGCAUAUAAGUGUGUUGAAAACGAACUUUUUAGUAUGGAAAACCUCUGAACUGAAUUCAAGUCAUUUAUCGUGUCCUGAAAAUAUGGACACUAAUUAUGUUGUUAAACUUUUAAUGUCAAAAUGCAUUUCAGUCACAGAAGUGCUUUUCUCAAAUUUAGAUGUGGUGUUGCUCCACUAAGGAUUUAAACUGGGAAAUAUGAAAAUAUUGUUUUAGAGUGUGCCAUAUAUGUUAUAGUUUUAUUGAAGACGAAGCACAUUUUAUUAAGGUUUCCUCUUUAUAAAGAUUUUAGAAACCAUUUAUAUUAUGUUGCUGAAACUUGUAAUGAAAAUUUUAAUACUUUAGAUGAUAACCAAAAGUUAAGUGUUUUUAUUCUCAAAUGUAAAUAUGAUACAUGUGUGUUCCAAAACCUUUUAUUUGAUUUUAAAAAGGUGUAGAAAUUUUAUAUAUGGUAAAUACAUGUAGUACUUUAUUUCAUAUUGUUUAUUGUAUUGGUUCUAUGCAUUUUCAUAGUCUCUUAUAACUCUGUAUUGAAUGGCUCUCAUUUUAUUAAGUAUUGUUUUACAAUGUAUAAAUAUCGAUUGUAAUUGUCAAGAGAUGUGACAUUCAUAAAAUAUUGAAUUAAUUUAAUUGUUAUAUAUAUAGUAUUGCAAUCAAUAUUUGUGUAUGCCUCGCACAAAAAGGUGCAAGCAAGGCUGUACUGGUCAUCUUCAGUUAUCAAGGUUUUUUUUUUAUAACAAACCCACUGAGAUCUGGUAUCCAGGAAAUUAAAAUGAAUCAACAAUAGUUUCGUGUAUUUUGUACAAUAAUAUUUUUUGUAAUUACAUCUUACUCAUGAUGCAGAUCUGUCUUCAUCUAAUACUAUGAUGAUGCACUACAGUGGCAUAAAAGUCGUUACGAUAGGUUUAGAAAGUGUCAUUUUGGUAUUUAUUAUCAUGAUGCAUAAGACUUGAAUUUCCCCACGUUUCAAGGAAUAACAUUGAAAAAUAAUUUAUAAGCCAACACUUCUAGCCAGCAGUCUGUUUUGAAUAAUAAGGAUUUCUUUAAAACUGUUCAAUGUAUACCUCCUUCGACAAUCUUCCUAGCAUUUACGCACGACAUUUUCAGUUUUAAAUUCGAUUCGCCGUGUUAACUCGUUUUAGUUGGUUGUUCCAUGAUAGAAUUUUUGCCAUUAUUUGAUAUUUCACAUAAAAUACAAUGUAAGAGCAUAUCAUCAAUUACAAUUGCUAUGAUUUACUUUAUGUAUUUAUGCUUAUCCUUGUAUGCAUGUUUAUUGUUUUAAUAAAGGUAAAAUCCGAUGUCUAGGUUAUCGGCAAUAUGAAUAUA
Molecule: long non-coding RNA, 7872 nt
Organism: Mytilus californianus (California mussel)
Lineage: Eukaryota; Metazoa; Mollusca; Bivalvia; Mytilida; Mytilidae
Exons: 17
Source: RefSeq, a predicted model, not a curated record